This 390-nucleotide long non-coding RNA is filed under the name Vigna radiata. RNAcentral's name for it is "long non-coding RNA (VRAD_LNC003575)". The record is from RNAcentral. Lineage: Eukaryota; Viridiplantae; Streptophyta; Magnoliopsida; Fabales; Fabaceae.
CCAAUUAGAUGAGAGUUUGCCUUCUGUUUUGUCUUUACAAGCUUCAACUUUUUUUGCUUUUGCUUUUUCUUUUUUUCUUUUUUUUUAUCGAGUGGUUCUUAUGAGUCUUAGAGGGAGAUGGUCUCGAUGCUUACAUUUUUGUACACAUAUUUAGUUCAAAGUUUCUCAUAUUUUUCAUGAAGAAAACUAUUGUGCUGAUAAGUUAACUAAUUUAGCUUUCAUUCAUAGAAAACAAUACAAGUAGUUUAAUGUUUUAUCUCCAUAUACUUAUUUAUAUUUUUUUCAUAAUAAAUAUAUUUUGUCUAUGUUUCGUGAAGUAUGAAUUUUAUCAGGGUUUGAUGUAGUCUCCUAUGCUUUGUAUUUUUUAUUUUAUUUUUUUAAUAAAUUUUC